RNAcentral lists this ribosomal RNA (553 nucleotides) under uncultured bacterium. RNAcentral describes it as "bacterial SSU rRNA". It matches the Rfam family "Bacterial small subunit ribosomal RNA", at positions 339 to 906 of the family's 1533-position model. The record is from RNAcentral.
CUACGGGAGGCAGCAGUGGGGAAUCUUAGACAAUGGGGGCAACCCUGAUCUAGCCAUGCCGCGUGAGUGAUGAAGGCCUUAGGGUCGUAAAGCUCUUUCGCCUGUGAUGAUAAUGACAGUACCUGGUAAAGAAACCCCGGCUAACUCCGUGCCAGCAGCCGCGGUAAUACGGAGGGGGUUAGCGUUGUUCGGAAUUACUGGGCGUAAAGCGCGCGUAGGCGGAUUAGAAAGUUGGGGGUGAAAUCCCGGGGCUCAACCCCGGAACUGCCUCCAAAACUACUAGUCUAGAGUUCGAGAGAGGUGAGUGGAAUUCCGAGUGUAGAGGUGAAAUUCGUAGAUAUUCGGAGGAACACCAAUAGCGAAGGCAGCUCACUGGGCCGCUAUCGACGCUGAGGAGCGAAAGCUAGGGGAGCAAACAGGAUUAGAUACCCUGGUAGUCCUAGCUGUAAACGAUGGAUACUAGACGUAGGAACUGGAUUGACGGUUUCUGUGUCGCAGCUAACGCGUUAAGUAUCCCGCCUGGGGAGUACGGUCGCAAGACUAAAACUCAAAG